RNAcentral lists this ribosomal RNA (430 nucleotides) under bacterium. RNAcentral's name for it is "partial 16S ribosomal RNA". It matches the Rfam family "Bacterial small subunit ribosomal RNA", at positions 355 to 776 of the family's 1533-position model. The record is from RNAcentral.
UGGGGAAUAUUGGACAAUGGGGGGAACCCUGAUCCAGCCAUGCCGCGUGUGUGAAGAAGGCCUUAUGGUUGUAAAGUACUUUAAGCGAGGACGAGGCUCUCUUGGUUAAUACCUAAGAAGAGUGGACGUUACUCGCAGAAUAAGCACCGGCUAACUCUGUGCCAGCAGCCGCGGUAAUACAGAGGGUGCGAGCGUUAAGCGGAUUUACUGGGCGUAAAGCGUGCGUAGGCGGCUUUUUAAGUCGGAUGUGAAAUCCCCGAGCUUAACUUGGGAAUUGCAUUCGAUACUGGGAAGCUAGAGUAUGGGAGAGGAUGGUAGAAUUCCAGGUGUAGCGGUGAAAUGCGUAGAGAUCUGGAGGAAUACCGAUGGCGAAGGCAGCCAUCUGGCCUAAUACUGACGCUGAGGUACGAAAGCAUGGGGAGCAAACAGG